UUUAGUAUUUUGGUUGUAAUUUUUCAAGAGACUAUAAACAAAGACAUUUUGAAGGAACUCCACAAAUGUGAUGCUGGGAAAUUUACUUUUGGAGAUGGUUGUACAAGGCAAUUUUCUUAUUAUUACUCUACAAUGGCAAUCUUCUUCCCCAAAUCGUUUUGCUAACAGGGCUGUUGUUUUGGGCAUGGAAGAAACGUAAGUUUUGUCUACUAUUCCGCUAAAGGCAACGUUGUUCAAGACUUUCUACCGCUUACUAAGCAACGAAUACGAUUGUCCUCUGGCGAGCUUGAAAGUGCGAGAAAGAAUCCCGAUGCCUACUCUAACGCCAUAACAGAGGAGAAAGCUUUGGCAGAAAUUACCAAUGGCGUUGGCCAGGCAGGAUCAUCAGCAUGGUCGUACGGGGUGUCGUCGCCACUCGCCGCCAUCCUAUGAUGCCUCUGUAGCUCCUGUAUUGCUUCCCUGAAUCAGUCCUCAGCCUCAGGCAGUCGUCGCUCCGCCUCCGCGCUGUCUGCCAACAACCAUGCCGAGGAAAUCGGGUUUUUAGAGAGAGUCGGCAUUUUAAAGUCGAUAAUAAUUUAUAAGUUAGUUCUUUUUAAUUAACUUUAUUGCUGUAAUAAGAACAUUUUUUAUUUCUCUCCCUGUUUUUCUUAAUUUUCCUGUAAAAUUUCAAAAAGUUAAUGCUGCAUGGUGAUUUUUUUUGA
Molecule: long non-coding RNA, 701 nt
Organism: Gossypium raimondii (Peruvian cotton)
Lineage: Eukaryota; Viridiplantae; Streptophyta; Magnoliopsida; Malvales; Malvaceae
Exons: 2
Source: RefSeq, a predicted model, not a curated record